Podospora aff. communis PSN243 is the source of this 84-nucleotide non-coding RNA. NCBI's taxonomy places the organism in Eukaryota, Fungi, Ascomycota, Sordariomycetes, Sordariales, Podosporaceae. The record is from the annotation of a GenBank genome assembly.
GGGCGUGUGGCUCAGUUGGUAGAGCGUUCGCUUAGCAUGUCUUCGGCAUGCGAAAGGUCCUGGGUUCGAUUCCCAGCUCGUCCA